AGCUGUCAGCGGGUAACUUCUAACUGAAUAGCUUGGACCGGCGGGAACCCAGACGGGUCACCCCCAAAUUGAUUGGUAUUCUUAGCAGAGAAGGUAACCGGAAAUUGAGUAGAAGAUUGAUUGAAAACGACUCGUGGACUCCCUUCUCUGCUCAAUAUUACUUGUAGUCUUAUUUAUUCAUUUAUUUAUUAUCAACGUUUCUUGCACUACUUAAGUUAUCACACACAGUACCAGAAGUUUCUUCGGAAAUCUCUAAUCAAUAAAUCCAUUUUUCUGUGUGAUUUUCACUGCAAUUCAUUGUUUGAGUUCAACAAUUAAAGAAUCGUGCCAAUUGCUGUUGAAUUAUAGCAUGAAUUAAACCGGAAAUUAUCGGAGAGAGAAUCAAGAUAUGAUGAUAAAUUUUCAAGGUCUUUCAAAGCAGAAAUCUCCCCAGGUUCUGUUUGAAGACGCAUUUCCGGCGGCUGAUCCUGGCACAUUGGAGCAAUUAAAAGAGUUGAGCUGCAGAAGGAGAGCUAUCGAAUCCAUCAACCAAAAUAGCUUUGUGACAGAGGCUAUUGCCAGGGAAAUGUCUGGGGGAUUGACUUCUCGAUGUGAACAGAAUAUACAGAAGGUGGAACAGUAUUUACCAAUUUUGGGAAACCUGAUACACCAUGUAAAUCUAGUUGGUGACAACCCCAAGAUGGUUCGAUGGAUUUCUGACCUAAAGAUUAGGUGGAGCAGUGCUCUCACUUCAUCAUCCUUUUUUCAACUUAACGGUCCAAAACUUUAUCAGAUGGAUAAUUUGCAUUCUGAACUUGCAAUGACACUUUUCGUUCUUGGUGCAUUGUUUCGAGAUCGAGCUCUUGAAGUUCUGUCAACAGAUUUAGUGCAAUCAGCCUCCUUUCUCAGAAAAGCUGCAGGAGUUUACCAUCAUAUAGCUCAGGAUGUCCUUCCCUGUUUACAGCCUGCAUCGGCACAAGAAAGGCCACCAGAAGCUGUAAUCAGUGUUUCUGCUGCAAUCGCCCUUGUUUGCUUAGCUGAGGCACAGGCUGUGAGUGUGAGGAAGGCAGAGCAAAAAGGGAAUACUGGAGGACUCUUGGCGAAGCUGCACUAUGGUGUUUGUAAAUUUCUUGAAGAAGCUAUGCAUACCUUGCAUUCAGCCACCAAGCAGUGCAAAGACAUUUCAUCUUGCUUAAUGGAUUAUAUUACAACUUCUAACAUGUUACAUGAGCUACUCAGUUACAAAUAUCUUGCGGAGAGUCUUAAGAUUGAGGGGCAAAUAGGUUUUGCUAUUGGAGUUCUUCGGCAUGUGAUACAAAAUGCAGAAAAGCAUAUACCAAGAGAAAAGUCAUGGAGACUAGUUCAUAAGCAAUUGAUCGAUGACUUGACUGGACGGCUCCAGAAGUAUGAACACGAAAAUGAGUUUGUCUGGCAUGAAAAGAUUCCCAUGCACGACGAACUGCCUGUACCUCAAGGUGUCACGAUUGUUAGUCCCAUACCUUAUCAGCCACAAAGGUGGGAAAGAACACUUGUUUUCAAAAUCUAAACCUACAAUCCCUGUAUAGCAGUUCUUUUGUUGGGAGCAGGACUACUAUGCAUAACCUUUGUAGGCGUCCUUCGUCAUUUGAGUGUCUCGAAAAGGAAAGUACGUGUCGUCACCCAGUGAAUCAAAAGAGAGGAAAGAGGAGGAGAAAAUAACUCUACUAUCGGCAUUGGCCAUCUGCGAAGAGGAUGUCAGUGAUUGGAGUUAUGGCGACGACCUAAGUUGGGGAUGAGGGAUAAGCCGAUGGUUGAAUACAAAUACAAGUGUAAAGUUAAAUAUUUACAAAUAUUUUAUGAAUUUCUUAAUAUAAAUUCAAGGUCUACCAAGAGUUACUGGGUUCCGAAAAUCCAUAUUGAAUGCUCUAGGUUUGCCCCUGAUGGUUGGGGUGAAUGUGGUAAAGAGAGAGAGAUUAGGGUUAGGUGGUAAAGAGCUAGAGAUAAAACUAGGAGCCUGAUAUCAAGGAAUUCCUUGUUUCUCUAAUUUGCUAUGUUUUGGGAAGUGUUGUUACGUUGAGUAAUUAGUUGAAAGUGUCAUUAAAACUAGUAAUUAGGGGUCUUUAUUUGUCAUAUAGUGUAAAAGUUUCUUCAAUAUUGUAUAGUUGAACUGUGGAAAAUAAAAAAUAAAAAAAAAA
Nicotiana tabacum (common tobacco) is the source of this 2153-nucleotide RNA transcript. RefSeq lists it as uncharacterized. Lineage: Eukaryota; Viridiplantae; Streptophyta; Magnoliopsida; Solanales; Solanaceae. The record is from RefSeq and is a predicted model, not a curated record.